GACGAACGCUGGCGGCGUGCCUAAUACAUGCAAGUCGAACGCUGAAGGAGGAGCUUGCUUCUCUGGAUGAGUUGCGAACGGGUGAGUAACGCGUAGGUAACCUGCCUGGUAGCGGGGGAUAACUAUUGGAAACGAUAGCUAAUACCGCAUAAUAGUAGAUGUCGCAUGACAUUUGCUUAAAAGGUGCAAUUGCAUCACUACCAGAUGGACCUGCGUUGUAUUAGCUAGUUGGUGAGGUAACGGCUCACCAAGGCAACGAUACAUAGCCGACCUGAGAGGGGGAUCGGCCCCACUGGGACUGAGACACGGCCCCGACUCCUACGGGAGGCAGCAGUAGGGAAUCUUCGGCAAUGGACGGAAGUCUGACCGAGCAACGCCGCGUGAGUGAAGAAGGUUUUCGGAUCGGAAAGCUCUGUUGUAAGAGAAGAACGAGUGUGAGAGUGGAAAGUUCACACUGUGACGGUAUCUUACCAGAAAGGGACGGCUAACUACGUG
RNAcentral lists this ribosomal RNA (495 nucleotides) under uncultured bacterium. RNAcentral describes it as "partial 16S ribosomal RNA". It matches the Rfam family "Bacterial small subunit ribosomal RNA", at positions 28 to 507 of the family's 1533-position model. The record is from RNAcentral.